Molecule: long non-coding RNA, 701 nt
Organism: Sceloporus undulatus (fence lizard)
Lineage: Eukaryota; Metazoa; Chordata; Lepidosauria; Squamata; Phrynosomatidae
Exons: 3
Source: RefSeq, a predicted model, not a curated record
AUGAAAGGUGGUAGCAGAAAGUGAUUUAAGGGAUUACAGAAGGCAAUACUGUACCAAUUCCAGAUGUAGAGCUCCACUCAGAGGAUACAAGGAAGAGAAGUAGCUCAGCAAGCUGCCUGGGGGUGGUGAUGUGGCCAGCAAUGCUGAGGAUUCAAGCAUGAAACAGACAGAAUGUCUGUCUGACCUCAAGUGAGACUGAAUUGUUGAUGCCUAAAUAGGCAUAUUUAUAGGGCAAAACCUGUCCUGAGGCAAAAUUUGGGAUUAAGGGGUAGCUUCCAGGAAAGAAGAAAGAGAAGGGAAGUUGUCAGUGGCUGGACACUCAGUGCAAAUGUCCUUGGACAAAAGGAGUAUCACUCCCAGUGGGAAGUGUAUUUCAAUUUCUCUUCACUUGCAAGCACAAGGUCUAUCACCCACCAUCACUCUUAUCGGUGAAGGAAUUAUGCAGAUUCCGAUCUUGAUUGAUCUAUCCUUGGGUUCCCCAUACUGAGCUUCCCAGAUCUCCUUAUAUGUGUCGCUUUUACAAUUUCCAGUCGUCAAUUCUCUGAUGAUACAGGAAUCCAAUAUGAAAGGGAGGUCCAUGUCAGAUUACCAUAAAUCUGGCAAGACUAAGAGCCCUCCUCCCGACUACCAUCUUGAGGGGGAGAGACGAGGCCUGGCCUGGCAAGACUAAGAGCCCUCCCCCGACCAGCCGCUCUUGGGGG